This is an unclassified non-coding RNA of Erinaceus europaeus (western European hedgehog), 335 nucleotides long. Its record names the gene 7SK. It matches the Rfam family "7SK RNA". Rfam says of the family: 7SK was discovered as an abundant small nuclear RNA in the mid-70s but a possible function has only recently been suggested. The record is from Ensembl. Lineage: Eukaryota; Metazoa; Chordata; Mammalia; Eulipotyphla; Erinaceidae.
GGAUGUGAGGGUGAUCUGGCUGUGACAUCUGUCACCCUAUUGAUCGCCAGGGUUGAUUUGGCUGAUCUGGCUGGCUAGGAGGGUGUCUCCUUCCUCCCUUACCACUCCAUGUGUGUCCCUCCCGAAGCUCGGUGGAAGAGAACGGCCUUCCCCGAAUAGAGACGGACUGACUGGUCUUCGGUCAAGGAUAUACGAGUAGCUGUGCUCACCUGCUAGAACCUCCAAACAAGCUCUCAAGUCUAGGGUUCCUGACUGCCAGCUGUGGGGUUGUGGGCAGGUGAUGUCACUUCCCUGAGGCUCAGCCCUAAGCUUGUGAGUGAAUGAGCACACACCAA